GGUAGUAGGUGUCUUUGAACGGGGUAUGGUAGUAGGUGCCGUUGAACAGGGUAUGGUAGUAGGUGUCUUUGAACGGUGUAUGGUAGUAGGUGUCUUUGAACGGGGUAUGGUAGUAGGUGUCUUUGAACGGGGUAUGGUAGUAGGUGUCUUUGAACGGGGUAUGGUAGUAGGUGCCUUUGAACGGGGUAUGGUAGUAGGUGGUAGUAUGGUAUGGUAGUAGGUGUCUUUGAACGGGGUAUGGUAGUAGGUGGUAGUAUGGUAUGGUAGUAGGUGUCUUUGAACAGGGUAUGGUAGUAGGUGCCUUUGAACGGGGUAUGGUAGUAGGUGGUAGUAUGGUAUGGUAGUAGGUGCCUUUGAACGGGGUAUGGUAGUAGGUGCCUUUGAACGGGGUAUGGUAGUAGGUGGUAGUAUGGUAUGGUAGUAGGUGUCUUUGAACGGGGUAUGGUAGUAGGUGUCUUUGAACAGGGUAUGGUAGUAGGUGUCUUUGAACGGGGUAUGGUAGUAGGUGUCUUUGAACAGGGUAUGGUAGUAGGUGUCUUUGAACGGGGUAUGGUAGUAGGUGUCUUUGAACGGGGUAUGGUAGUAGGUG
Long non-coding RNA from Oncorhynchus keta (chum salmon), 589 nucleotides. RefSeq lists it as uncharacterized. The record is from RefSeq and is a predicted model, not a curated record. Lineage: Eukaryota; Metazoa; Chordata; Actinopteri; Salmoniformes; Salmonidae. The transcript is spliced from 4 exons.